GUUCUUCCCUGCACUGCCAUUCUAGAAAUCUGAAGCAUUGUGACCUCAGCUCCAUGCUACACACUAACCAACAUGGCAGCUGGCUUAUGGCAAUUAGAAAAGUGGCUCUUCUCAAGGCUGUGAUAGUCCAUGGUUUGAUGAUCAACCUGUGAAACCUCUGAGCCCGGAUCAAUUACCCUCCAGAGGGAUCCCAACACUCUUCUCAUCACUUGGAGAACACUAUCAUUUCUGUGCUCUUUGCACUGGGAGCCUCUCACAGCAGGAUCUACGUCAGGCCAAGGCUGAGGAGGCCUUCCGUGGAGAAGCCCUGGCCCAGGAGGGAAGCUGAGCCCCAGAGCACUCCAGCUCACUCUUUUCCAUCAAAAUCCUGCUCUAUCUUCAAGAUCCAACUCAU
This 394-nucleotide long non-coding RNA is filed under the name Ursus maritimus (polar bear). Its description in RNAcentral is "lncRNA (ENSUMAG00000002292.1)". Lineage: Eukaryota; Metazoa; Chordata; Mammalia; Carnivora; Ursidae. The record is from RNAcentral.